UGGACUGUGUUGGUUGGCAGAUGGGCCUUC
RNAcentral lists this small RNA (30 nucleotides) under Bombyx mori (domestic silkworm). RNAcentral's name for it is "ovarian small RNA-34583". Lineage: Eukaryota; Metazoa; Arthropoda; Insecta; Lepidoptera; Bombycidae. The record is from RNAcentral.